Molecule: non-coding RNA, 1762 nt
Organism: Mus caroli (Ryukyu mouse)
Lineage: Eukaryota; Metazoa; Chordata; Mammalia; Rodentia; Muridae
Source: RefSeq, a predicted model, not a curated record
GAAGAGGCAAAGAGAGAAGUCAAAGAAGGAACAAAGCUUGGAGUGGAAAAUCUGAUGGAGAAUUCAAGUGUCAGGGUCAUCUGACCAGCAUCCUGACCCCACUGGCUCACAAUGUGAGGCUGUGGAGGCUGCUGCUCUUCUCGGAACCUUUCUCUUGGGUCCCACAGAGGUGAAAGUCAUCCUGUGACACUGGUUAGCACAAGCUGCACACAGUACUCAGCAGGAUUCCUGCUCGCUCUCAAAAGCCAUACUAUAUUGCUGAAGGAAGUCAGGGCAGAAUCCUGGAGCCAGGAGCUGAUGCAGAGACCAUGGAAGAUUGCUGCUUACUGGCUUGCUCCCAGUGGCUUGUUCAGCCUGCUUUCCUAAAGAUCCCUGGAUCACCAGCUAAGGGUGGCCACACCCACAAUGACCUGGACCCCUCCUACACCAAUCAAUACUUAAGAAAAUGUCCUUCAGGCUUCCUCUUUCUCAUUGGAGGGAUUUUCUCAGUUGAGAUUCCCUCUUUCAGACAACUCUACCUUGUGUAAAGUUGACGUAGGACUAGCCAGGUAAGGAGGGCUAAGAGCACCAUCUACUAUCUCAGGUGGUAUCCAGAUACCUGAAAUAUAACUACCAACAUACCUGGACAGGGCUUCUAAUACAGGCAAGCAAGCAAGAGUCUUCAAGUGUUGGAGGGAAGAAUUCUUUGGUGUGUCUCAGCGUGUGUGUGUAUAUGUAUGUGUGUGUGUGUGUGUGUGUGUAUACACAUCCUUCUCAAGCAAGGUUAGCACAUAGUUUGUCAGGCUCUGUUCUUAAAAGCCCUAUAGUUAUACAUAAAUCAAAAAGAUAUUUUGACUAGCUAAGGGAACUCAGUCAUUAAUAGCAAAAAUAGAUAAAAGAAUGUUAAAAAUUGUAUGUAUGUAUGUGUAUUUUUAUCUGUAUAAAAAGUCUUCUAGAAAGAGCAAUAAAAAACUAUUAGGAGAAUGAAAAUAAAACAAAACAAAACAAAAAACAACAUGAAAAUUUGCUAACUACCACUUGUCUGGGAGGCAACAGAAAUUUUCUGCCAUGUCAGGGCUAUAGCAGUCAGGUCUACAGCAAAUAUUAGAACAAAUGUACAUAAUGUCAAGGGGUAUAAUAGAUAAGAAAAUAAAACAAAUAAUCUACUUGUUUCUUUUGGUAGUCAAAUCCUCAAGUUUCCACUCUGCACAGCCUGGUGAGCUCCCAGGGUAGCUCUAGCAUCAUCCUCCUGUCUUACUGGUCUUCCAGCAUUAAAGCUUGCUCACUCCACAUGGUCAGUUUACAUGAUGUUGACAAAUCAGGAACACAUUCCCAGUUGCAAGAGGCUGGCUUCAUUCUGUUGUGUUGAGCCCAGGAAAUCAUCUCUGCCACCAUUAGUAUAGAGGGAUGGAUUCCAAGGCAAGCAAACAUGUCCACCAUGGAUCCCGCCGAGUUUUCACACCUCACACAAGGAUUGGAGCUUAGUUUGAAUAGUUAGAGCUUAACUUUAUGGUUUUACAUGGUUGACUUGGCUUUGUAAUUGUGCAUUCAGAAAAAGAAAAUGUGUUCAAAUGCUACCACUGAAAAGUGUAGUACAACUUUGGCAAACAAUGUGGAACCUUAAGCACAUAUUUUGAUUUUCAGAAGUGUUGACCCUGCAGAAUUUUGACUUUCUCUUAAAUGUCUCUUAAAUAUUUAUUAACAAUACAUUUAUAAAAUGUAACUAAUGUUUUCAAUUUUUGUUUGUGAUAUUCAUCCAGAAUAUAUUAUGAUAAUAUUUAUG